This is a long non-coding RNA of Hyaena hyaena (striped hyena), 750 nucleotides long. RefSeq lists it as uncharacterized. The record is from RefSeq and is a predicted model, not a curated record. The transcript is spliced from 2 exons. Lineage: Eukaryota; Metazoa; Chordata; Mammalia; Carnivora; Hyaenidae.
CUACAUUGUUUUCUGGCUUGUUUAGUUACUGAUCAGAAGCUUGAAGUCAGCUGUGGUUCUUUGUUCCUCCCUAGGAUGGUUCCUGGCCAGAGUCUACUGAGUGGAUCUGUAAGACCAGUGAGCAUGAAGCCAGACUAUGACCCUCUGCAGCUGCCUGGAACUGAGUGACCAUAGUUGCAAGAUUUUCUUUUGUAUCUUCCUGAGGCCUUUCCCAAAGAGGCUGGGAUUCUCCUUGGCUUUUAAGAACCCAGAGAUCAUAUUUCAUCAGCUAGGAGUCUGUUGGGCUAAACCAGUGGACGAAAUAACCAUCUCCUUUUGGCCACCUGACAAUUUUGAGAAGAGAAAACUCUGAGGGAAGUAGGAAACUUUUCCCUUCAGAUUGUAGGAAUCACUUGGCUGGGAACAAAAUUUGCAUCAUGCCAUUCCUUCACUAACGUGGACAGGACUUAGCACUAGGCAAAAAAAAAAAAAAAAAUCAGGCUAGAAGGCAGCUCACGGUAAAUAUUAACAUCUGCCAGUACAGCAUAACAUGAAUUAGGAAAUGGGGCUGUGAGUGCAUCAGUGUUGCUUCUCCUGCCACUGACAAUAUUUGAACGUAUGUCUUCAUUAUCUUUUUAUUCACCUGGCUCACUUCUCCAAGAGUAAAGACUACCAUCUAUCUCAUGUACCAAGAACUCAAGCAUCCAACCUAGUACCUGAUAUACAGUAUAUACCUGAUGCAUGUUGAAUAAACAAAAGUAAUAAUGAAUA